GCCGUGCGCGGUGGCGCAUGCCUGUAAUCCCAGUGACUCCAGAGGCUGAGACAGGAGGAUCGCAAGUUCAAAGCCAGACUUAGCCACAGCGUGGCACUAAGAAAUUCAGUGAGAUCCUGUCUCUA
RNAcentral lists this small RNA (125 nucleotides) under Marmota monax (woodchuck). The record is from RNAcentral. Lineage: Eukaryota; Metazoa; Chordata; Mammalia; Rodentia; Sciuridae.